Molecule: ribosomal RNA, 253 nt
Filed under: uncultured bacterium
Lineage: Bacteria
Description: partial 16S ribosomal RNA
Rfam family: Bacterial small subunit ribosomal RNA
Source: RNAcentral
UACGGGGGGGGCAAGCGUUGUUCGGAAUUACUGGGCGUAAAGGGCUCGUAGGUGGCCAACUAAGUCAGACGUGAAAUCCCUCGGCUUAACCGGGGAACUGCCUCUGAUACUGGAUGGCUUGAGUUUGGGAGAGGGAUGCGGAAUUCCAGGUGUAGCGGUGAAAUGCGUAGAUAUCUGGAGGAACACCGGUGGCGAAGGCGGCAUCCUGGACCAAUACUGACGCUGAGGAGCGAAAGCCAGGGGAGCAAACGGG